Molecule: long non-coding RNA, 678 nt
Filed under: Homo sapiens (human)
Lineage: Eukaryota; Metazoa; Chordata; Mammalia; Primates; Hominidae
Description: TDRKH antisense RNA 1
Source: RNAcentral
AAUUACCGAGGAGUUUUCUAUCUUCUAACCCUUGGAGGAAAAUCUGCGCUCCAGCAGCUGGGACCGAGGCAUGAGAGCGUUGAAUCAUGAGUGGCACCGUUCGCAAAAAUUGGUGUCUUUGUACAAAGACAGUGCCACAACACAACUCAGUGACCAUCGGGAGAGCAGCCUCAUGAUGGGCGAUGCUCCAUCAGUUUUCUCUUGCGAUCUUUUGCAUAGAUCGGUCCCGCCCCGCAUAUGGCGAUGAGGACUCAAGAGACACGGAAAACGUUUUCUUUCUGGAAAACAUGAAAUAGGCUUUGUAGAUGGACAGGAAGUCAAGGGACAAGCGGUGCGCCGCAGAGAGCGAGGACCCACUCUUCUAUUCCUUUGCGGAGGCACGGACACACGGUGUGGCCCGAAACAGCGGCAGGAGAGUGAGACCCGGGCUCCGACCGCGGUGACGCUGUCCUGGUCCCUGGACGGUUAGGAACGGUUGGGUCCUGCUACUGCCUCCGUGGGGCAGGGAGCCUCGCGAGACCAGCACUGCGCCCUACUCGGUCCACCCUGUCCCCGCUCCGCGCUAGGGGCUCACCCUGGGAACAGGGGUCGGGCGAUCCUGGUCAUUGGGGGAUCUUCCGCACUAGCUUCCAUCACAAUACCUGGCAGGUGAUGAGCAAUAAAUAUUUGCUGAAAGAA